This 468-nucleotide ribosomal RNA is filed under the name uncultured bacterium. RNAcentral's name for it is "partial 16S ribosomal RNA". It matches the Rfam family "Bacterial small subunit ribosomal RNA", at positions 28 to 507 of the family's 1533-position model. The record is from RNAcentral.
GACGAACGCUGGCGGCGUGCUUAACACAUGCAAGUCGAACGGAAAGGCCCUGCUUUUGUGGGGGGCUCGAGUGGCGAACGGGUGAGUAACACGUGAGUAACCUGCCCUUGACUUUGGGAUAACUUCAGGAAACUGGGGCUAAUACCGGAUAGGAGCUCCUGCUGCAUGGUGGGGGUUGGAAAGUUUCGGCGGUUGGGGAUGGACUCGCGGCUUAUCAGCUUGUUGGUGGGGUAGUGGCUUACCAAGGCUUUGACGGGUAGCCGGCCUGAGAGGGUGACCGGCCACAUUGGGACUGAGACACGGCCCAGACUCCUACGGGAGGCAGCAGUGGGGAAUAUUGCACAAUGGGCGGAAGCCUGAUGCAGCAACGCCGCGUGCGGGAUGACGGCCUUCGGGUUGUAAACCGCUUUCGCCUGUGACGAAGCGUGAGUGACGGUAAUGGGUAAAGAAGCACCGGCUAAAUACGUG